UGGGGAAUAUUGGACAAUGGGCGAAAGCCUGAUCCAGCCAUGCCGCGUGUGUGAAGAAGGCCUUUUGGUUGUAAAGCACUUUAAGCGAGGAGGAGGCUACUGAGAUUAAUACUCUUGGAUAGUGGACGUUACUCGCAGAAUAAGCACCGGCUAACUCUGUGCCAGCAGCCGCGGUAAUACAGAGGGUGCGAGCGUUAAUCGGAUUUACUGGGCGUAAAGCGUGCGUAGGCGGCUUUUUAAGUCGGAUGUGAAAUCCCUGAGCUUAACUUAGGAAUUGCAUUCGAUACUGGGAAGCUAGAGUAUGGGAGAGGAUGGUAGAAUUCCAGGUGUAGCGGUGAAAUGCGUAGAGAUCUGGAGGAAUACCGAUGGCGAAGGCAGCCAUCUGGCCUAAUACUGACGCUGAGGUACGAAAGCAUGGGGAGCAAACAGG
This 430-nucleotide ribosomal RNA is filed under the name Brucella melitensis. Its description in RNAcentral is "partial 16S ribosomal RNA". It matches the Rfam family "Bacterial small subunit ribosomal RNA", at positions 355 to 776 of the family's 1533-position model. Lineage: Bacteria; Pseudomonadati; Pseudomonadota; Alphaproteobacteria; Hyphomicrobiales; Brucellaceae. RNAcentral also lists the same sequence under 3 other names. The record is from RNAcentral.